AUGCCGCCGCCGCCGGCGACGCUGCCGGACGAGCUUCUCGAGGAGAUCCUCCUGCGCCUCCCGCCGGAGGACCCCGGGUGCCUCUUCCGGGCCUCCCUCGUCUGCAAGCCCUGGCGCAGCCGCCUCACCGGCACCGCCUUCUCCCGCCUCUACCGCGAGUUCCACCGGACACCUCCCUUGCUGGGAUUCUUCGAGAACGAUGAGACGGUACUGUGCUAUUUUUCUCCCUUGUCCCCCACUUCCCCCUUCUUCCCGGUGCACCCCGGCAAGUGCAGUCUCUUCGUGCUCGACUCGCGCCAUGGACUCGUCCUCUCAAAUACUAUCGGCCCGAGCGGCGAACCCCUCUGCCUCAUCGUGUGGGACCUCGUCGGCCACCGCCAGUGGCGGUUGUCCUUGCCGGAUUUCGUGGACUGGCCAACCUUUCCAGACUGCGCCGCGGCGGUGCUCUGCGCCGCCGAUGGCUGCGACCACCUCAAUUGCCCUGGCGACCCCUUCCGUGUGGUCUAUGUGGGCACCGAUGACGAUGGCGUCGCGCAAGCUUGCGUCUACUCUUCAGAGUCCUGUGCCUGGAGCCCAGUGACGUCUUGUGAGCACCCUGAAUUGCCCCUGCACGUCAGGCUCUCUCGGCCCAAUGCCCUUGUGGGAGAUGCAGUCUAUUUCUUGUGCACUCAGGAAACGGUAGUCCUGCGAUAUGACUUGUUCAGCCAGGAGCUAUCGAUGAUUCACUGGCCAGCCAUGCACAAGUGGAAGUGCAGCUAUAUCCUUAUGCGAAUGGAGGACGAUAUGCUGGGCUGUGCCAAUCUGCAGGAGUCCAGGCUCGAACUAUGGUCGAUGGAGGCUGACACAGACGGAGCUGUGAAAUGGGCAACACGCAGAGUCGUCGACCUCCAGAACUUGCUACCCUCGACCCCCAGAUAUGUGAUUAGCUGCACCGAUGGAUUUCGUGUCUUUUUUGUGCAGACAGAUCUUGGCACUUUCACAGUUGAGCUUAAUUCAGGCCGAGUUAAGAAGGUAUCCAGUAGCAGUGAAGUCAUUCCCUACACGAGGUUCUACACUCCAGACCUAGCUGGGGGCAUAACACCUCCAUCAACCAUGGCGUCCUCCUCAGAGAAUGUUGAGACGACCCAAGACAAGCACCAUGUGGGUGAUGAGAAGGAGAAAUGUGUAGAGAAGGGCGAGGACGAUUUUGACUUGGAGGAGAACGGAUGGGAGGAGGAGGCUGAGGAAGAGGAGUGGGGAUGGGAUGGGGAGAAAGCUGCAAAUGAGCUGUUUGCCAAGGGGUCCAAGGCGAUCGAGGAGGAACAAUUCGUUCACGCCAUUCACUGUUUCGACGAUGUCCUUGAGAGUAGGGUGCUAUUUUAUGGGAGACUUUCUCCAAUGUGUAUUAGCACGUAUUACAAAUAUGGACGUGCUUUGCUGUACAAAGCUCGAGAAGACUUAGUGAAGGGUACAACCAGCAGAGAUGAUACUGGAAGCUCAAAGGCAUCUUGUAGCAAUGUGAAGAAAGGUGAUACUAGAAAAGAUUUGGAUCUGGCCUGGAAAAUGUUACAUAUUGCGAGGGCAAUAAGUGAAAAUUGUCCUUGGAUGCCUAUGGCUAAAGUCGAUACAUAUUGUGCUCUUGCUGAAGUUUCCAUGGAAAGAGAAGACAUAGACUACUCACUCCGUGCUCGGUUCAAAGCUUUAGCCAUCUUGGAGCAUUUGGUUGAGCCUGACCAUUGUCGGAUUGUCGUACUAAACUUCCACAUAUUCCUGGCUUUCACGUCGGCAUCAAAGAUUGGAGACACGCUCCCAUAUGCUGUAAAGGUUAUGUCAUUGUACAAGUCACGUGUGCGGAAGCUGAGAAAGGCUCUCGAAGAUUUGUUGGCUGUUAAAGGUGAGAAUGCACCUGCUGCUGAAGUUGGCUCAGAAGAGUUGUCGCUGGACAAUGAGAUAGAUGUGCUUAAUAAUAUAUUCACUGCACUAGAGAACAAGCUUAAAGACCUGGCGCAAGCAUUACUAACCCCAACCUCAGAGGCAAGUGGUACGCAUAACGUUGUCUAUGCUACACCAAAAGAUGCAUCUUCGACCUUACAAAUUGCUGGACCAAGUAAUUCUAUGUCUACAGCAGCAACAAUCGAGACGCAGAGUAGUACUGGAAUCGACCUUGAGACCGCAGGCCAAGGCAUGAAACAAGCUAGUGCCAAGCUGAUCUCUGCUGAACCUUCUUGUCCCGACAAGCUUUUGGAGGAUUCUUCACCUGUAAAAGGUGAUAGCAGCAACAAAUCCAAUCUUCAUCCUGCAGCUAGGAGUAAAGUACAGCUUUGUUAG
This 2307-nucleotide ribosomal RNA is filed under the name Triticum aestivum (bread wheat). RNAcentral's name for it is "partial small subunit ribosomal RNA". Lineage: Eukaryota; Viridiplantae; Streptophyta; Magnoliopsida; Poales; Poaceae. The record is from RNAcentral.